Molecule: long non-coding RNA, 1235 nt
Organism: Hirundo rustica (Barn swallow)
Lineage: Eukaryota; Metazoa; Chordata; Aves; Passeriformes; Hirundinidae
Exons: 3
Source: RefSeq, a predicted model, not a curated record
CCGGGAGUCCCCGUGGGACUACAUCUCCCGGCAGGCCAGGCGGCGGGACCUGGGGGGGUUUGUCGGGAGAUGUAGUCCCAGGGAGAGGGCCGGACUGCUGCUCCCGGGGAAGGGAGACGGAGGCGAUCAGCCCUGCUGUAGCCCACGUCUGGUUCCCGGCACAAAAGUCAGGGCGACACUCGCCGCGCCGCUCUCGGCCCCGUAUUCCCGGCCCGGCAUUCCCGGCCCGACCGCCGGGGACACACGCCGGACAGCCCCCGCAGCCAGGGCGGGACAGCGGCCGCAGCGCCGGACAGCAGCGGGACCGGACACCGGCGGCACCGCGGGGCACUCUGGGCUCCCUUUAAGUAUUGGAAGGCCUCAAUAAGAUCUCUCCGGAGCCUUUUCUUUUCCAGGCUCAACAACUCCAGCUGCCUCAGCCUGUCUUCACAGGAGAGAUGCUCCAGCCCUCUGAGAUCAUCUUCAUAGCCUCCUCUGGAUGUGCUCCAGCAUGUCUGUGUCUUUUCUGUACUGGGGACCAGAGAGCUGGCUUCAGUAGUAAAAGGGCAGGAUUGCCUCCCUUGACCUGCUGCCCAGGAUGCAGUUGGCUUUCUGGGCUGCAACUGCUCACUUUUGGUUCACGUCCAACUUUUCACCCAUAAGAACCCUCACUUCCUUCUCAGCAGGGCUGCUCUCAGUGAGUUUUCCGGUCUGUGUUCUCCAGUUCUUCUCAUGUCUGGGAUUGUCCAGACCCAAGGCCAGCACGAAGCACUUGGACUUGUUGAACUUCAUGAGGUUUUUGUGGGCCCAGGUUUGUCCAGGUCCCCCUAGAUGGCACCCUGUCCUUGAGGUGUGUCACCCACACCACUCACCUUGCAAACUGGCUGCGGGUGCACUCGCUCCCGCUGUGUCAUUGAUAAAGAUAUUAAAAGCCCCAGCCGGUCCCAAGACACAGCCCUGAGGCACAGCCUAGCGUUUGUCACCUGUCUCCAUUUGGAUAUAAGGUCAAAGCCCAUAGCACCCUGGCCGCACCCAUCCAGCUAAUUCCCAUAACCCACCCGUGAAAUCUGGACACAAAUGAUUGUGGAGGACCCAGUUACCACCGACGUUGUAUCAUAUCAAAUCCGCCUGAUUAUACCUAUCCUCUCUCUUUUUCUUGCCUCUGUGCAAAAUUUAAAAUACUCUGAUAACUACGUUAUUAAACCUAUUUUUAAACCAGAAUAGGGGUAGCUCUACCGAAGUAGAGCCUCAAAAAA